RNAcentral lists this ribosomal RNA (528 nucleotides) under uncultured bacterium. RNAcentral's name for it is "bacterial SSU rRNA". It matches the Rfam family "Bacterial small subunit ribosomal RNA", at positions 28 to 526 of the family's 1533-position model. The record is from RNAcentral.
GACGAACGCUGGCGGCGUGCCUAAUACAUGCAAGUUGAACGCUAAAGCUUUAACUGGUGCUUGCACCGACCUAAGUUUUUAGAGUAGCGGACGGGUGAGUAACACGUGGGUAACCUGCCCAUCAGAGGGGGAUAACACUUGGAAACAGGUGCUAAUACCGCAUAAUUCCUUUUACCGCAUGGUAAAAGGCUGAAAGGCGCUUCUGGUGUCACUGAUGGAUGGACCCGCGGUGCAUUAGCUAGUCGGUGGGGUAACGGCCUACCGAGGCGAUGAUGCAUAGCCGACCUGAGAGGGUGAUCGGCCACAUUGGGACUGAGACACGGCCCAAACUCCUACGGGAGGCAGCAGUAGGGAAUUUUUCACAAUGGGCGAAAGCCUGAUGGAGCAAUGCCGCGUGAAUGAUGAAGGUCUUACAGAUUGUAAAAUUCUUUUAUUUGGGAAGAACGACCACGAUAGGAAAUGAUCGUGGAAUGACUGUACCAUUUGAAUAAGUAUCGGCUAACUAUGUGCCAGCAGCCGCCGUAACAC